AGAGGGACUCUCUAACCUGAGUACACAUUUGAAACAUCUGAGGGCUUUGAAACAUACCUGCUCCUGGACCACCUGCUGAACCAAUUAAAUCAGAAUUUCUGUUGUGAAGAUCUCCACGUGAGUUUAAGCUUUCCUGCUCAACUGUUAGUUCCAUGAAGGCAACAGCCAUGCCUGCUUCGUUCACUGAAAUAUCUUCGUUUCCUAACACACAGAAAGUCAUCAUUUUUUGACGGAUGAAAGAAUGGAUGAAUGCCUAGUCUUGGAGACAUCUACUUGCAAUAAAGGUUAGAUGAAGGAAAUGGAUGCCAGUGGGAGAUUUGUGGAUCUAUUUCACCAGAUUUCACUCUGCUGACUCAGCAAAAUGGUCCCCGAAGAAAGUGAAGAAACAGAGGCAAAGGGAGCAUAAGCAAUUUUCCAAAGGCCAUACAACAUGUAAGUGGCUGAGCCAAGACUGAAAUCACCAGGUUCUUAACCACUAGGCCAUAUUGCAUUGGAGUGUUGCCUCCUGGAGUAAGACUAGGCUAAAAGCUUCAUAGAAACCU
RNAcentral lists this long non-coding RNA (542 nucleotides) under Homo sapiens (human). Its description in RNAcentral is "non-protein coding LINC02331:11". Lineage: Eukaryota; Metazoa; Chordata; Mammalia; Primates; Hominidae. The record is from RNAcentral.